This 78-nucleotide transfer RNA is filed under the name Alphaproteobacteria bacterium. RNAcentral describes it as "tRNA-Asp". It matches the Rfam family "tRNA". Rfam says of the family: Transfer RNA (tRNA) molecules are approximately 80 nucleotides in length. Their secondary structure includes four short double-helical elements and three loops (D, anti-codon, and T loops). Further hydrogen bonds mediate the characteristic L-shaped molecular structure. tRNAs have two regions of fundamental functional importance: the anti-codon, which is responsible for specific mRNA codon recognition, and the 3' end, to which the tRNAs corresponding amino acid is attached (by aminoacyl-tRNA synthetases). tRNAs cope with the degeneracy of the genetic code in two manners: having more than one tRNA (with a specific anti-codon) for a particular amino acid; and 'wobble' base-pairing, i.e. permitting non-standard base-pairing at the 3rd anti-codon position. The record is from RNAcentral. Lineage: Bacteria; Pseudomonadati; Pseudomonadota; Alphaproteobacteria.
GGGGGUGUAGCUCAGUUGGUUCAGAGCGCUGGCCUGUCACGCCAGAGGUCGCGGGUUCGAGUCCCGUCACUCCCGCCA